UCAUCCUCGAUCGUCCGAUCCCUCUCGCUCCGUUCCACAUCUUCCAUCUCCGCACCAUUCCCAACUCUCCAUCUCCUCCGGCGCCCGUCCGCCCACCUCCGCCGAAGCUCUGCGGGUGGAGUGGGAAGAGGAGUCACAAUGAUGAACACCACCUCCGGAAGCUACGCCUCAGCUCUACUUGAAGUGGCGAAAUCGAAUGGGAUGAUGGAAGCGACAUCCGCCGACAUGGAGAAGAUCUCGAAGAUUUUCUCAGACGAAUCCUUAGUGAAUUAC
This 273-nucleotide long non-coding RNA is filed under the name Zostera marina. RNAcentral describes it as "long non-coding RNA (ZMAR_LNC002967)". The record is from RNAcentral. Lineage: Eukaryota; Viridiplantae; Streptophyta; Magnoliopsida; Alismatales; Zosteraceae.